ACCUAGGUGGCUCAGUCGGUUGAGCAUCUGAAUUCGGCUCAGGUCAUGAUCUCACAGUUUGUGAGUUCGAGUCCCACCUCGGGCU
RNAcentral lists this transfer RNA (85 nucleotides) under Felis catus (domestic cat). It matches the Rfam family "tRNA". Rfam says of the family: Transfer RNA (tRNA) molecules are approximately 80 nucleotides in length. Their secondary structure includes four short double-helical elements and three loops (D, anti-codon, and T loops). Further hydrogen bonds mediate the characteristic L-shaped molecular structure. tRNAs have two regions of fundamental functional importance: the anti-codon, which is responsible for specific mRNA codon recognition, and the 3' end, to which the tRNAs corresponding amino acid is attached (by aminoacyl-tRNA synthetases). tRNAs cope with the degeneracy of the genetic code in two manners: having more than one tRNA (with a specific anti-codon) for a particular amino acid; and 'wobble' base-pairing, i.e. permitting non-standard base-pairing at the 3rd anti-codon position. The record is from Rfam by way of RNAcentral. Lineage: Eukaryota; Metazoa; Chordata; Mammalia; Carnivora; Felidae.